UACGAAGGGUGCAAGCGUUACUCGGAAUUACUGGGCGUAAAGCGUGCGUAGGUGGUUUGUUAAGUCUGUUGUGAAAGCCCCGGGCUCAACCUGGGAAUGGCAAUGGAUACUGGCAGGCUAGAGUGCGGUAGAGGGUAGUGGAAUUCCCGGUGUAGCGGUGAAAUGCGUAGAGAUCGGGAGGAACACCAGUGGCGAAGGCGGCUACC
This 206-nucleotide ribosomal RNA is filed under the name uncultured bacterium. RNAcentral describes it as "partial 16S ribosomal RNA". It matches the Rfam family "Bacterial small subunit ribosomal RNA", at positions 524 to 729 of the family's 1533-position model. The record is from RNAcentral.